UACGUAGGGGGCGAGCGUUGUCCGGAUUUACUGGGCGUAAAGCGCACGUAGGCGGUUUGUUAAGUCAGGGGUGAAAUCCCGGAGCUCAACUCCGGAACUGCCUUUGAUACUGGCAAGCUAGAGUCCGGAAGAGGUAAGUGGAACUCCUAGUGUAGAGGUGGAAUUCGUAGAUAUUAGGAAGAACACCAGUGGCGAAGGCGGCUUACUGGUCCGGAACUGACGCUGAGGUGCGAAAGCGUGGGGAGCAAACAGG
RNAcentral lists this ribosomal RNA (253 nucleotides) under uncultured bacterium. Its description in RNAcentral is "partial 16S ribosomal RNA". It matches the Rfam family "Bacterial small subunit ribosomal RNA", at positions 524 to 776 of the family's 1533-position model. The record is from RNAcentral.